GAGGGUAUAGCUCAAAAGUGGCAGAGCCCAUGCUUAGCAUGCACGAGGUCCUGGGUUCAAUCCCCAGUACUUCCU
RNAcentral lists this transfer RNA (75 nucleotides) under Camelus bactrianus (Bactrian camel). It matches the Rfam family "tRNA". From Rfam's summary of the family: Transfer RNA (tRNA) molecules are approximately 80 nucleotides in length. Their secondary structure includes four short double-helical elements and three loops (D, anti-codon, and T loops). The record is from Rfam by way of RNAcentral. RNAcentral also lists the same sequence under 2 other names. Lineage: Eukaryota; Metazoa; Chordata; Mammalia; Artiodactyla; Camelidae.